RNAcentral lists this ribosomal RNA (729 nucleotides) under Candidatus Tremblayella phenacoccinincola. RNAcentral's name for it is "bacterial SSU rRNA". It matches the Rfam family "Bacterial small subunit ribosomal RNA", at positions 658 to 1382 of the family's 1533-position model. Lineage: Bacteria; Pseudomonadati; Pseudomonadota; Betaproteobacteria. The record is from RNAcentral.
GGGAUAGAAUUCCAGGAGUAGCGGUGAAAUGCGUAGAUAUCUGGAGGAAUACCAAAGGCGAAGGCAGUCCCCUGGUCCGAUACUGACACUGAGGUACGAAAGCGUGGGGAGCAAACAGGAUUAGAUACCCUGGUAGUCCACGCCCUAAACGAUGUCGAUUAGCCAUUGGAAGGACCCCUUUUCCUUUCAGUGACGUAGCUAACGCGUUAAAUCGACCGCCUGGGAAGUACGACCGCAAGGUUAAAACUCAAAGGAAUUGACGGGGACCUGAACAAGCGGUGAAUGAUGUGGAUUAAUUCGAUGCUACGCGAAGAACCUUACCUACCUUUGACGUGGCCAAAGUUCUACCGAGAGGCGGAAGUACUCGUAAGAGGAUUGGCGCACAGGUGCUGCAUGGUUGUCGUCAGUUCGUGUCGUGAGAUGUUGGGUUCAGUCCCGCAACGAACGCAACCCUUAUCUUUAAUUGCUCCUAUUUUAACAGGCACUUUAAAGAAACUGCCAAUGAUAAGUUGGAGGAAGGUGGGGAUCACGUCAAGUCCGCAUGGCCUUUAUAGGUAGGGCUUCACACGUCAUACAAUGGUUAGAACAAAGAGCUGCAAAUUCGUAAGAAGGAGCCAAUCUCACAAACCUAACCUCAGUUCGAAUUGCGGUCUGCAACUCGAGCGCAUGAAGCCGGAAUCGCUAGUAAUCGUGGAUCAGAAUGCCACGGUGAAUACGUUCUUAGGUCUU